UGGGGAAUCUUGCGCAAUGGGCGAAAGCCUGACGCAGCCAUGCCGCGUGAAUGAUGAAGGUCUUAGGAUUGUAAAAUUCUUUCACCGGGGACGAUAAUGACGGUACCCGGAGAAGAAGCCCCGGCUAACUUCGUGCCAGCAGCCGCGGUAAUACGAAGGGGGCUAGCGUUGCUCGGAAUUACUGGGCGUAAAGGGCGCGUAGGCGGACAUUUAAGUCAGGGGUGAAAUCCCAGAGCUCAACUCUGGAACUGCCUUUGAUACUGGAUGUCUUGAGUGUGAGAGAGGUAUGUGGAACUCCGAGUGUAGAGGUGAAAUUCGUAGAUAUUCGGAAGAACACCAGUGGCGAAGGCGACAUACUGGCUCAUUACUGACGCUGAGGCGCGAAAGCGUGGGGAGCAAACA
RNAcentral lists this ribosomal RNA (402 nucleotides) under uncultured Brevundimonas sp. Its description in RNAcentral is "bacterial SSU rRNA". It matches the Rfam family "Bacterial small subunit ribosomal RNA", at positions 355 to 774 of the family's 1533-position model. Lineage: Bacteria; Pseudomonadati; Pseudomonadota; Alphaproteobacteria; Caulobacterales; Caulobacteraceae. The record is from RNAcentral.